CAGUCCUGUAGUGUAUCAUCUGACCACUUCCGUUUUGAGCGAGUCACUGGUACCUCCUGCUUUAGUUUUUGCUUGUAAACAGGAAUCAUGGUAUAAUUAUUGUCAGAUUAGCGAGGGAGAGCUCUGUGGAGUAAAAGUGGUCUGGAGAUUUGUUCGCUUCCGGUUGCACAUGUGACAUGCUGGUAGAAAUUAGGUAAAACGGAUGUAAAUUUGCCAGCAUUAAAGUCCCCGGCCACUAGGAGCGCCGUUUCUGGGUGAGCAUUUUCUGGUUUGAUUUUGGCCUUAUUCAGCUCUUUGAGUGCAGUCUUAGUACCAGCAAGUUGCAGAGAACGACUGCAUUGUUUGCUUAUCUAGCUAUCUAACAACUUGCAAGGCAAGUAUGUUCAUAUUACCCACCUUGAUGCAGCAGACUCUCCCACUGUGGUUCCAGCAACAGCUUUUCCAGAACCUUCCAGGCAGUGGAGGGGUGGAGGGAGUAUAAGACCCCAGCUCCUCGCAGGUUAAACCCAAAGCCCACACUCUGGAACACCACUAAACUCCGGAACACCCAGAACACUACACAGCUGCACAGCUCCAGGACACAGAAUACAUUUCACACAGCGCAAGGAAACUUCUGGAGGCCAUCCCUAACAACAGCAGCAGCUUGGCAGCCAGAGGUGUGCAGCAGCAGUUUUCUUAGGGUUGCCAUAGCAACACCCACCGAUGGCAACCUGCAAACAGUGCAGUCCAGCUCGUCACCAAGCUUAGGACCCAGGGUGGGACUGAACACCUCCCACUGCAACUGGAUAAUGGGCUUCCUGACGGGACAACCCCAAGUGGUGAGGGAAGGCUAUUGAUCCAGUAUUCCUGUACAUUGUUAAUAUGGUACUGGAACUGACUGACCAUGUAUAUACACUGUAGUAUGCUUACUUUUCGUGCUCUUCUUAUUUUUUAGUUCUCGUGUGUUUUUGUUCUCUCUACCUUAUGUUGUUUUUAGUAUUACAUUGUUAUUGAUUACUACAUUGUUGGGUUUAGAGCUUGCGAGAAGGGUAUUUCGCUGUACUUGUGCACUUGAAUUCACAGGACCGCUUUGCUCUGUCUCCUAGCUCAGAAGGAUCCCCAUGGCAACGGCAGCAGCAUUUGUCAGCUUCAUCAGAGAGUGAGAAGAGAGUAGGUAAAGGGUGAUUCCACAAUAAUGUAAUUACGCUGAGACUUAGGUUUUUCACUUUAAAACAUAUACCAAACAAAAAACAUUUAUUUCAUAGUUGAACAAACCAUAGGACUACUUAACAAUUUCCACUGAACAUUUUACAAUAACACCUUUUACAGGAAGAAUUGUGCAGAUACAAAGUUUGAUAACAGAAUAAAACUGAGGGAGAUUUUACCAUAAUUCUGUUAUCAAUCUUUGCAUCUACACUGUUUUUCCAGUAAAUUAUUCAUUUUAUUUUACUUUAAAUUGUUAAAAGUAGUCAUUGUGCAUAGAGCUGUAUGGUUUGUUUUAAAGUGAAAAGUAAGUCUCGGUGUAAUUCCGUUAGCAUGGAAUUGCCCUAACGUAAAUCUGCAUGCUGCUGGCAGUCUGCCAGCGUCUCAAAUAAAAGAGCACUUUGAACUGCUGCCCAGUUUGGAGGAGAGGAGCUGUCAGGCCUGCUUAAUGUUGGCAGUUUGUCAUUGGCAAGCCUUUCCCAGAAUUCAUCUGUCUGGCAACGUGCCAGGCACUUAGCUGAAGCUAAAAAAAUUAACCCCUGCGCUUGCAAAAUGUUCCACAGAGCGAGAUGGGGAGAGAGACAUCAGCACAGUUGGUAUGUGAGCGGCUCAGUGUAUGCGUGAGGGGCCAUGGGGAUAUCACAGGAUCCUUUCAGGAUGGAGGCAGGCGGGAUCUAUUAACCUCCUCUGCUUUGUUUUGUGUAAAGCUAUGUAUUUGGUUGUUUUAAAGUCUUCUGAGGUCUGAGGCAGAAUUUGUAAAUCGUUUUAAUUGUUGCGAUGUUGAGUUCUGCCUGUGAUAUAGUUCUGCCUGUGAUAUUUAUAGUACUGACCUUCCACUUACAUAGAUGGAUUUACGUUAUUGGGUAGUUUGGCUAGUUGAUGUGGCAUAGAUUUGUAAUAAGCUUAUGUUUGAAUUGUAUCCAUAUGUGUAAACCUAAGAGAGAAGGCACUGUUUUGCCAUUUGCUUUUAGGAUCAUUCAGACCUUUUUUUUUUUUUUUUUUUACUGAGUUUGCGCUCCACACUUAAAUCAAGCAAAACUAUUGGUGUUGGAAUUGUAUUGAACCGCGCCUGGCACGCAGGCCCAGUGUUGGAAUAAAUGGCACAAACCCUUUUUCUUCCCAUGCCA
Molecule: long non-coding RNA, 2309 nt
Organism: Oncorhynchus tshawytscha (Chinook salmon)
Lineage: Eukaryota; Metazoa; Chordata; Actinopteri; Salmoniformes; Salmonidae
Exons: 4
Source: RefSeq, a predicted model, not a curated record